This is a long non-coding RNA of Sycon ciliatum, 1058 nucleotides long. RefSeq lists it as uncharacterized. NCBI's taxonomy places the organism in Eukaryota, Metazoa, Porifera, Calcarea, Leucosolenida, Sycettidae. The transcript is spliced from 3 exons. The record is from RefSeq and is a predicted model, not a curated record.
GUGCCCCUGCACUUGGCAAGGAAGACGUCUGUCAAGAUUGGGCCAGAGGAAGCUGUAUUGUUCCGAAUUGUCCACGUCGCCACAUGGCAAUACAUAAUGACCGUGGCAGCAUGCCAUGCUACUUGGAGUCUCAGCUAAUGGGGUGUAUCAAGCCGUUCUGCCCAUUCAAGCUUUUGAAGCUCCGUCCUGCUGCACCUCUGCAAACUGGCCAAGUACAACCCACUACGACUGCACCCCAAGGAAAUCCAGUCAAAGCUGGACCAGCGCAGGUGCUUCCACCUGAUUUCAAGUUGCUGAUAACCAUACCUGGUGACAGCAGUGCACAGCGCAGCCCUACCAUCCGGACUAUUGGCAAUUCUCAAGAAAGACUGCGACACGCCCGAACACAAGGGGCUGCCACCGACUCGACUGCCGCUGACUCCAGAAUGGAUAUGAGAAGAGCAACUCGAGCCAAAAGCCGAUACCAUUUGGUUCAUGCUCGCGAUCAUCCAAAUCAACAGCAUAGAUUUGGACCUGCAAGGCAUGGUCCAAUUCGUUUGUUACCAACGAAAAGGGCAGCAUUUGUUCAGCAAAAAGACCAAACGAAGCCGUUAGCCAAACGACGCAGGCCUGAGGUACUACAACCGUGAAAAUUCAUUGGUAUAUCAAUGAAUGAGUUGUGUGUGCGUGUAUGUGUAUGUGUAUGUGUGUGUGUGUCCCAUAUGGUGCAGUGGUAUGUGCAGCGAUUUCCAAUCGAUAGGUUGCGGGUUCGAUUCCCGACGAAUAUGGUCACACGCGUCUUUCUUCUCUUUCUCAGACUCUUCCUGACUUUUCUUUCAUUCUCCUGGGUGGUUACCAACAGCCAGUGCAUGCCGGAGGGUGUGGUGUGAUGUGUGUGCGGGAAAAACAUGAAAAAGACCAAAAAUAGGGAUUCACUGGCCCGAAAAAAAUCACUUCAAAUAGCUGUAUGGUGUAGGCCAGGCUGAAUAGUGACGGGCAAUUCUUCAGCCUUGCAAGCUGGUGAAUGGUGCAAUCCCAGCACAAGUUGCUGUGGCUUCUGCCGUAGCAUUGCUAUCAUC